Molecule: ribosomal RNA, 305 nt
Filed under: uncultured bacterium
Lineage: Bacteria
Description: bacterial SSU rRNA
Rfam family: Bacterial small subunit ribosomal RNA
Source: RNAcentral
GCCUACGGGAGGCAGCAGUGGGGGAUAUUGGCCAAUGGGGGAAACCCUGAUCCAGCGAUGCCGCGUGAGGGAAGAAGGUUUUCGGAUUGUAAACCUCUGUGGAGGGGGACGAUAAUGACGGUACCUGACUAAGAAGCCCCGGCUAACUACGUGCCAGCAGCCGCGGUAAUACGUAGGGGGCAAGCGUUAUCCGGAUUUACUGGGUGUAAAGGGAGCGUAGGGGGCAGGGCAAGUCAGAUGUGAAAACCCGGGGCUCAACUCCGGGAGUGGAUUUGAAACUGUACAGCUAGAGUGCAGGAGAGGUA